Molecule: transfer RNA, 74 nt
Filed under: Corynebacterium antarcticum
Lineage: Bacteria; Bacillati; Actinomycetota; Actinomycetes; Mycobacteriales; Corynebacteriaceae
Also listed under: 2 other names
Description: tRNA-Pro
Rfam family: tRNA
About the family: Transfer RNA (tRNA) molecules are approximately 80 nucleotides in length.
Source: RNAcentral
CGGGGUAUGGCGCAGCUUGGUAGCGCACCUGCUUUGGGAGCAGGGGGUCGCAGGUUCAAAUCCUGUUGCCCCGA